This 1618-nucleotide ribosomal RNA is filed under the name human gut metagenome. RNAcentral's name for it is "bacterial LSU rRNA". It matches the Rfam family "Bacterial large subunit ribosomal RNA", at positions 1341 to 2925 of the family's 2925-position model. The record is from RNAcentral.
AAACCUAAGGUUUCCCACGGCAGGCUCGUCCGCGUGGGGUUAGUCGGACCCUAAGCUCAGGCCGAAAGGCGUAGGCGAUGGACAUCAGGUUGAUAUUCCUGAACUAUCGAUUAAUCGAUACCAGAAGCGGAGGGACGCAGGAGGAUAGACACGCAGCCGACUGGAAGAGGCUGUUUAAGCGUGUAGGUAGAGUAAGUAGGAAAAUCCGCUUAUUCGUUAGAAACUGAGGCGCGAUGAGGAGAGUCUACGGACUUGAAGGUGUUGACUCCACACUGCCAAGAAAAACUUCGCUAUCGAGAUUAAUAGGUAUCCGUACCGGAAACCGCCACAGGUAGGUUGGUAGAGAAUACUAAGGUGCGCGAGAUAACUCUCGCUAAGGAACUCGGCAAAAUCACCUCGUAACUUCGGGAGAAGAGGUACCCUGGUAGCGUGAAAGACUACGCGUCUGGAGCGUGAUAGGGUCGCAGUGAAUAGGCCCAUGCGACUGUUUACCAAAAACACAGGUCUCUGCAAAGUCGAUCAAGACGAUGUAUAGGGGCUGACGCCUGCCCGGUGUCGGAAGGUUACGCGGAAGGGUAAGAGGCAACUCGAAGCUCUGAAGCUAAGCCCCGAUGAACGGCGGCCGUAACUAUAACGGUCCUAAGGUAGCGAAAUUCCUUGUCAGGUAAGUUCUGACCCGCACGAAUGGCGUAACGAUUUGGGCGCUGUCUCGGCGAGAGGCUCGGCGAAAUUGGAUUAUCCGUGAAGAUACGGAUUACGUGUACCAGGACAAGAAGACCCUAUUGAGCUUUACUGUAGCUUGAAAUUGAAUUCGGGUUCUUAUUGUGCAGUAUAGGUGGGAGACAUUGAAGCAGGGACGUCAGUUUCUGUGGAGUCAUCGUUGAGAUACCACUCUGUAAUAAUUUGAAUUCUAACACUGAUCCCUCCAAGAACAGGGCAGUGGACAGUUUCUGGUAGGCAGUUUGACUGGGGCGGUCGCCUCCUAAAAAGUAACGGAGGCGUUCAAAGGUUCCCUCAGGUUGGUCGGAAAUCAACCAUUGAGUGCAAUAGCAAAAGGGAGCUUGACUGCGAGACAAACAAGUCGAGCAGGUGCGAAAGCAGGAUAUAGUGAUCCGGUGGUUCUGAAUGGAAGGGCCAUCGCUCAUCGGAUAAAAGUUACCAUAGGGAUAACAGGCUUAUCUCCCCCAAGAGUCCACAUCGACGGGGAGGUUUGGCACCUCGAUGUCGGCUCGUCGCAUCCUGGAGCGGUAGUACGUUCCAAGGGUUGGGCUGUUCGCCCAUUAAAGCGGCACGCGAGCUGGGUUCAGAACGUCGUGAGACAGUUCGGUCUAUAUCCGGUAUACGCGCAAGAGAUUUGAACGGAGUCUUCCUUAGUACGAGAGGACCGGGAAGAGGGGACCUCCAGUGUACGGGUUAUCGCGCCAGCGGUAAACGCCCGGUAGCUGUGUUCCAAGCGGAUAAGUGCUGAAAGCAUAUAAGUACGAAGCCCACCGUAAGAUGAGAUCUCUCAUAGCACAAGCUAGUAAGUCCCCUGGCAGAUUACCAGGUUGAUAGGUCAGAGAUGUAAGAGUGGCAACAUUUUCAGUCGACUGAUACUAAUCGGACGAGGGCUUUUCCU